GCCCUGGUAGUGUAGUGGCCUAUCAUGAAGCCCUGUCGAGGCUUCGACCCGGGUUCAAAAGCCAGGGUCAAGGUA
RNAcentral lists this transfer RNA (75 nucleotides) under Candidatus Woesearchaeota archaeon. RNAcentral's name for it is "tRNA-Asp". The record is from RNAcentral. Lineage: Archaea; Nanobdellati; Candidatus Woesearchaeota.